Molecule: long non-coding RNA, 2770 nt
Organism: Rattus norvegicus (Norway rat)
Lineage: Eukaryota; Metazoa; Chordata; Mammalia; Rodentia; Muridae
Source: RefSeq, a predicted model, not a curated record
ACCUCUCGCCCCAGCUGAAGCCCUGCUCCGCCCUUCCAUCUUAACCACCUCUCCAGAGCACAUUCACUCGUUCAUUGUAGUGGCACCUGCAGGAUGGCGCCGGAGGGAAGCGGAAGUGGGCCAGCCUUCCACCCAUCCGGCUUCCGGCUGCCGGGGCCUCACAACAAUUCCAGCGCAAACCGCAAGCCGUAUUAACCUAUUUCUGCACACAUAAUUAGUCAGAGACUGAUAGAACCAUCUACCGCGUGUUUACAUAAAGGUAAGUGUAGUCCUCAAGCCUCAUCAAGAAAACUCUUUGCAAGAGAUGGAGACCACCACAGAAAACCAAAACCAGUCAAGAUGCGGAGUGGUGAAGUCCAGGCCUAAUGGAUACAUCUAUAAAAUACUCUUGGAUCUGAGCCUCAGGAAACAUGGAAGAAGGAUGGUCAGAGCUGUGAGAUCAUGGAGUUUACUGUGAGAUCCUGUGUCCGAGUAAUAUCAAAAGUUAUAAAGUCUCACCAAAAUGGCUUGCAAAACAUGAGCUGACCAAGGACACCAACAACAGACCCACGAAGCCUCAACUUUAGACAAAGAGCUACAGGCUAAGGAAUGCUGUGAGUGGGAGAAACAGUCUUCGCUGGGGCAAAGAGCACAUGAAUUAGUUGUCAAAUACCAAAUGAUCAGCCCCAAGAACAUACAUACAAGUGCCAUUAUACAGAUGUGUAAAUACAUGUAAAGAUCCUCAUAUAACAACAAUUAAUGAAAAAGGCCAGGAACUUAAAGGAGAGCAGGGGAAGGAUGUGGGGGAGUUUGGAGGAAAGAAAGGGAAGGGGGAAAGGAUUUAAUUGUAUUAUAAUCUCAGACAUGAAAUCAGUAAUUAAGAAACAUGAAAAGGGAUGGCUGGUUAAAUGCAUGGUCUGGCUGCCGAUGAAGGUUGAUUCUAAUUGGUGCAAGUGUCCCUGACUGACACUAAGUGAGAGCGACAGACGUCCUUCUGUCUCUGGGCCAUCUGGGGACAGCUUCCUAGAGCAUAGAAGAGAGCAUAUGCGUCACACAAGGGACUCUUGUCCAUCUCUGCAUACUCCUAUUUCUCCAGCAUUUAGCAGAAUAUUGAGAGAAUAGUGACUUAAGGAAGUUGGCUGUUUGGACCAAAGAGAACUAAGGACAACAUGGAUGUCGGAAUGCAUACAAAUCUGUGAUGGGGAGCAUUGGAGCCGACAGUGCUGGUUCUCGGUGUAUUUCCCUUCAGUGUUCAACGUUUCUGCAAACAGUAGUUUGUGGUAAGCGCCUGCUAGGGGCUUUGUCUGGCCAGAGGACACUCAUUUCCAGAGGACAGAAGCCAAAGGGUUUCUUCAAUAAGUGAACAGUGUGAGUGUAUGAAGACCUCCAUGUAGAAAAGCAUUGCGGUUCCACAAAGAUUUAAAAACAGAAUUAUCAUAUAGUAAUUCAUUCUACUGGACCACAGUCCAUCUCUGAAGGAAGUCAGGGCAGGGAAUGCAAGGCAGUAGCUGCAGGAGCUGAUGCAGAGGCUGUGGAGAAGUGCUGCUCACUAGCUCUCUCCUGAGGUAUGGCUCAGCCUGCUUUCACACAGACAGACAGACAUAUACAUAUACAUAUACAUAUACAUAUACAUAUACAUAUACAUAUACAUAUACAUAUACAUAUACAUAUACAUAUACAUAUACAUAUACAUAUACAUAUACAUAUGAAAUCCCAUGGACAUUUUCUCAGUUCAGAUCCCCUCUUCCCACAUAUGUCUAGGCUUGUGUUCAGUUGACAAAAACCAACAUAGAUAUGUCCUAUUUCUGAGGCAUAGCCAUGAGAAAUUCUCAGAGGGCACGGAAGUUACAAUUAUCAUAUUUAGCAAAUACAGAACCCCCAGCGAAAUUCAAAUUUCAGGUGAACGAUAAGUGUUUCCUAUUUUAUCCCACCUCCCCUCCCCCAGAGAGGAAAAGAAACUGUUUGUAAUACGUGUCUAUUUGAUAAAGAUUUAUAUAUACACUAUUCAAAGGAUUCUUAAAACUUAGAUGUACGAAAACAAUCAGAUUAAAAAUGUACUCGAGAUCGGAACAGACGCCUCACCAAAGGAGAUAAAUGAGCAUAUUUAAAUGUGCUUCGGUCUCUCCUCACCAGGGAGAUUCAAACUCAAAGGACAAAGGGACACCACAACACACCUAUGGGAAUGGCCGAAUCCACAAUUCCUGGCUGCAGCUAAUGCUGGUAGGCUGUGGAGCAAGAACAGGAAUGGCUGCUCGCUGCUGGCGAGAAUGCCCAGUGCACGGCAUCCUGAAAGACAAUUUGACUACUCUUUGCAAAACCAAACAUGUUCUUUCCAUACAACUGGGCAGCGAGCAUCCACCCUCACUCGUGACUGUUUAACUGGGUAGUGGAAUAAACUGUGGUGUGUGCAGACAAUGGAAUGAUAUUAUUUUCUUAAAGGAGCUCGAUAGUAGUAUUUAUGUGUUUGCUUAUCAGUGGUGGGGAUUGAACCCAGGGCUUGCACAUCACAGAGUGCCUAGGUCGUGAAACAGGAUUCCUCCAAGUGAAACCUCGCCUAGUCAUCCCACAAAGGAAUAUCAGCUGAGAACCUGUCUUGCCUUAAGCAAAGAACUUCUGGAAGGAGAGACUUCGGGAGAGAAACUUGAACAAUUCCCUCACUUCUAAGCCCUCCACUCCACCCCUAAAAAAGGGUCACAGUCAGCUUUUCCCCUUAGCAGACCCCUCAAUUUCCCACGGGAGAAAGGCUGACCCUUGCUUGUUAUGUGUGCUAAUAAACACAGUCCCAUCUGUU